This 514-nucleotide long non-coding RNA is filed under the name Trifolium pratense (red clover). Its description in RNAcentral is "long non-coding RNA (TPRA_LNC011199)". The record is from RNAcentral. Lineage: Eukaryota; Viridiplantae; Streptophyta; Magnoliopsida; Fabales; Fabaceae.
UUCAAAACAAACAAAUUUUUCAAAUUUUUUUGGCUCAAGGGGGUAGCAAAGGAUCACACAAGUCACAUGGUAGGUUAUAUUUGGCCAAAGUAGUUAUCCCUCAAAAAGAAACAAGGCCUUGAUCAUAUCCAUGACAUCAAACACAUCAAGUAAUAGCAAGAUUCAGUUAAAAUCAACAGAGUUAAACACAAUUGUCGGCUCUCAAAUAUAUAAACAAUGGAAGGUUCACACAAUCUCACCCGGCUAGGUCUAAAUGAUUCAUAAUCAAUUAAUCAUGUUAAGAAGGAACGAAUGAAAUCAAAUUGAAUAAAGCUACUUAGUUCAAAUUCAUCCUAUCAUUCAAAGAUAAUCACAAAGAUUUCACCUCAAGCAAUGCAAUUUGAAAAAUUCAUUCUAAUCAUGCAUUUGAAUUUGAUUAAUCACAAACCUAGACAUUUCAAUUCAUAUGCACAUUUAGCAAUCACAAAAGUUUAAACCAUGUAUGUUUACAAAAAUUUCAGUCAACAUUUGCAAU